ACCUGGCUGGCCCAGUUGGUAGAGCAUAGGACUCCUGAUCUCAGGGUUGUAAGUUUGAGCCUCAUGCUGGGUG
This 73-nucleotide transfer RNA is filed under the name Canis lupus familiaris (dog). It matches the Rfam family "tRNA". From Rfam's summary of the family: Transfer RNA (tRNA) molecules are approximately 80 nucleotides in length. Lineage: Eukaryota; Metazoa; Chordata; Mammalia; Carnivora; Canidae. The record is from Rfam by way of RNAcentral. RNAcentral also lists the same sequence under 2 other names.